UUUGGUCUGCUCCCUGUCACAAUAAAUUUAUUUUUGAUUUAACUUAUUCAAAAGUUUCAUUUGAUAUGUAUAUUUCAUAUUAAAUUUUUUAUAUAUGUUUAACUUUUUUUCUACAUGAUUUAGUAGACUAAUAGGUGAAUGAACAAUAAUUCUAUAUAAAACAAACUAUAAUUAAUGAAUAUUGAGAUAAUUACUACUCAAAGCAUGAUACACAAUUAGAAACACGCACACUACAUUUUUUAAGAG
RNAcentral lists this long non-coding RNA (246 nucleotides) under Glycine max (soybean). RNAcentral's name for it is "long non-coding RNA (GMAX_LNC004674)". The record is from RNAcentral. Lineage: Eukaryota; Viridiplantae; Streptophyta; Magnoliopsida; Fabales; Fabaceae.